GCCAGGAAUGUAAUGCCUCUAGUUAUCUUCAUAAUGGCCAUCACUCAGAUGUGUCCGUUUUAGACUUGGGAAGAUUCUCCCAGUGGUAUUAAAUCCACCGGAGACUUUGAUUUCAGUAUCAUCUUGCAUGAAAGUUCUUAUGAAUUUCUGCUUUUCUCAGUAUUUUGAUCUUUCUUUCUCAGCUAAACUAAGAAAGGUGUCCUACAACUUAAUUAUUAAGAACAAGGAGGUUGUGGGGUACUUCUGUUACCUCAGAGCCCCUCCUCCUCGGAACUCCUUUGCAGCAGAAUUUUCUGAUAUGAAGGUGGUUUUAGGUAUGCUACCUGGCAAGCAUGAAGUCCCCUUUUCCUUGGCUGAAGAUUCUUCACUUCCAAGAAGACUCCACCACUCAGAAGAUUGCUUUCAGACUUUACUUCCCAUUACUAUUGGAUAUGUUGUGUUUAGUGCCAGCCUGCAUGUGCUCAGGUGACAAGGUUUUAGCAAUCCAGAAGAGUUACCUGUAAGCAGUACCUGUGUGAUGGUUGGCAUGGCUGCAGUAAGAAUACAGCAUGUUUCUAAGGAAGACACCCUAUACUAGCAUAUUAAACAUGGAAAAUCCUCCAGUUCAGGGCAUCACACACAACCCUUUGCAACCAGUGCAAGUUGAGAAGAGAAGAACUAGUGCAAGUCAUCUAAACCUCAUUAAUCCCCAAGACCACUUAUUUGUUGGAAGCUGUUCCGUCUGAAAAUUGAAAUGCUUGGAAUUACAGUGGACCGGUGACCAAAAAAUAAAAAAUAAUUUUAAAAAAAAUGAAGUGUUCA
This 801-nucleotide long non-coding RNA is filed under the name Anas platyrhynchos platyrhynchos (common mallard). RNAcentral's name for it is "lncRNA (ENSAPLG00000021548.1)". Lineage: Eukaryota; Metazoa; Chordata; Aves; Anseriformes; Anatidae. The record is from RNAcentral.